UAGCAUAGUCAUUUGUCUUUUAAUUGGAGGCUGGAAUGAAGGGUUUAACUAAAGAUAGUGUCUUUAUUUUAAAUUUGUAAUUUGUAAUAGGAGUAAAAAUACUCUGGUGUGAUUAAGGGACGACAAGACCCUAAAAGCUUUAUUUUUAACAUAGGUUUGAGUUUAAAAUAGAAUAGAAAGUUUAACUGGGGUAGUUUUUUUGUAAAAUCUGAGGUUGUAAAAGACAUAUAAAGUGGGGUUAGGUCCUUUAGAUAAGGAUAAUUUGAGUGAGUUACUUUAGGGAUAACAGCGUAAUAAUCCUAGGGAGAUCGUAUCUAUGGGGUUGAUU
RNAcentral lists this ribosomal RNA (328 nucleotides) under Eurythenes sp. DISCOLL PAP B. RNAcentral describes it as "partial 16S ribosomal RNA". The record is from RNAcentral. Lineage: Eukaryota; Metazoa; Arthropoda; Malacostraca; Amphipoda; Lysianassidae.